Molecule: ribosomal RNA, 253 nt
Filed under: uncultured bacterium
Lineage: Bacteria
Description: partial 16S ribosomal RNA
Rfam family: Bacterial small subunit ribosomal RNA
Source: RNAcentral
UACGUAGGGUGCGAGCGUUAAUCGGAAUUACUGGGCGUAAAGCGUGCGCAGGCGGUUUUGUAAGCCAGAUGUGAAAUCCCCGGGCUUAACCUGGGAAUGGCAUUUGGGACUGCAAGGCUGGAGUGUGGCAGAGGAGACUGGAAUUCCCGGUGUAGCAGUGAAAUGCGUAGAUAUCGGGAGGAACACCAGCGGCGAAGGCGACUUUCUGGCUGCUAACUGACGCUGAGACGCGAAAGCUAGGGGAGCGAACGGG